Molecule: ribosomal RNA, 301 nt
Filed under: uncultured bacterium
Lineage: Bacteria
Description: partial 16S ribosomal RNA
Rfam family: Bacterial small subunit ribosomal RNA
Source: RNAcentral
CAGCAGCCGCGGGAAUACGGAGGGUGCAAGCGUUAAUCGGAGUUACUGGGCGUAAAGCGCACGCAGGCGGUUUGUUAAGUCAGAUGUGAAAUCCCCGAGCUUAACUUGGGAACUGCAUUUGAAACUGGCAAGCUAGAGUCUUGUAGAGGGGGGUAGAAUUCCAGGUGUAGCGGUGAAAUGCGUAGAGAUCUGGAGGAAUACCGGUGGCGAAGGCGGCCCCCUGGACAAUGACUGACGCUCAGGUACGAAAGCGUGGGGAGCAAACAGGAUUAGAGACCCCGGUAGUCCCUGUCUCUUAUAC